AUGGCUCCUUCCUCUAGGCCUUCUAGUGCUGCUCCUAGCCUUACUGAAGCCCCGCUGAAUACCAGCUGCACAGCCCUGACAUCUGUAACCUCCACUGCCACAGUGAUUGUUAAGGCAUUUGUGGGAGGCAUGGAGACGAUAGCAUCAUUUGAAGACACAUGUGAAGCAGUUGAUUGGCCAGUUCCUGUAAAUGACCACAAAACAGGGUCUUCACAGAAGAUAACCUUCUCUCUAGCCGGCACACUCUAUGGCCGUAUACGAGCAAAGCUGAGGGACCUUUUAACUCUAGCCGCUCGAGAAGAAGGUGUGUCAAAGGAUGCUUCUCUUCGGGAGUCUUCAGACACCCUGGAAAAGGCAACUGUUUCAACUGUUGAGGUCCAGUUACCCAGCACCGAACACAGUAGAGUUCCCAGAGAGAGCCAACCAAUACCAGCUCUCUGUCUCUCCAAUCUGGAUACCAGUACUCAAGAAGUUCUUGGCAGUGUUUUUUCCAUCUACAAGUCAGAGUUAUCAAAAGUGGAGAGUAAAUCCUUAGCCGUUGUCAGUUCAUCUGAUGAGUCCCUAGAGGCUUGUUGGUUUGUUGAUGGUGUCCUAUCAAAGCUUGAUGACUAUACUAUUUCCCAGUCACCCUCACCCAAUGAAGACUUGAGCGUGAGUACUCAAUAUUCUCAACUGAGCUCAGAAGAGAGUGUCAGAAUCACAGAGUCCUCAACUAGUCUGAUUCAGAGCAUUAAGAAGCUCUCUAGCAAUGACUUUCAGACUCAGGCAGAAGAGGCAGUGAGUAAAGUGCUGAUGAGAUCCAGUCAUUCCUUUAUCACACAGAUCAGCCAUACUGGUCUUCAGAAAAGUCUGCAGGCUGGCUUAUCAUCUAGCUCACCAUCAGAGAUCCAUGUCCUUUCAGAAUCCAUGUCCUCCAUGUCCUCUGAGAAUACAGCCUCUGGAUUAGUGGAAACCUUUGUCAAAGGAAUGGCGACUAUUUUCCAGAAAAAUGAGUCCACUGACACUGUGCUACUGGAAAGAAGUGGGAGAGUUUCGCAGUGCUCCCACGGGGGCUCCCAACUGGAUUAUACUGAAUUGAGUGUUAAAAUAUCAGAGGAGAAGCUUUGGUCAACAGCUAAGAACAUCUGCGUCAGUAUGAAGAACACACUUAAGGAUUUCUUCACAGGGCUGAAGCCAUCCGGAUCCGAAAGGACAGAAAUGGCUUCUUCCAAAGAGACCCUUGGGGAAAUCCUGGUUGCUAUCCAGAGUGAAAUCUCAAACUUCGGGCGAAUGAAGGAUUCCAGGGAGCACCUUCAGAUCAAUGAUAUGGUAGGAACUAUGCUGAAGGAGAUUGAGAAAAGUGAGGAUGACAGUGAACAAGUCUGCCAAGACAUCCCUCGAACCUGUUCAUCUUUAUCCACUUCUUUAAAUGGUCGUAGUUCCUUGUCCAGCUCUUCAAAGGGUCCUAGGUCAGAGUGUGAGUUAGAGAUCAACCUCCCUGGCACUCCCAUCCCUGACGAAGUGCCUUUUGAUCUGACCUGCCCCAUCGUCAGGAGCUCCUGCAUCGACACCAGGGACUCUAAAAUGCCAGAGAUUUCUACAAGUGACCUAAAGACAAAGAUGAUGGCACACACAGAUGAACCCCUGCAUCGUAACAGUGACAGCAGCCGACCACCGAGUGCUAAAGCCUCUUUUCGAUCCUCCACUCCGUCUUUCACCAGCAAGGGAACCUCUUUGGUACCAAAGGGAGAGGGGAUUGACAUUUGA
Long non-coding RNA from Oncorhynchus mykiss (rainbow trout), 1746 nucleotides. Lineage: Eukaryota; Metazoa; Chordata; Actinopteri; Salmoniformes; Salmonidae. The record is from Ensembl.